GUUACAACAAGCCACUCAAACGCUUCGAGGCCUAGGAGUGGCAACUAAUCCCCAUAGAAGUGCAAUGGUAUUAGAUUGGAAGGAUCCUGAAGGAUGUGAAGGAACUAUAUAGCCAUAUGUAUUGGAUCAUCUUCCUAUAAAUUUAUGGGGACGAGAUGUCCUAGAUCAAUUAGGUUUGACAUUAACAAAUAACAUCAAUCCAAAUGCGCCCACUAUUAGGGCUAGACAAGGUUUCAGGAAAGAAAAAAGAUUAGGAGAACAAGGCAUAGCAGCACCAAUUCAAAUAGAUCAGGGAAUAAAUAGACAUGGACUGGGUUUUCAGAAGGGGUCACUGAGGCAAUAAAAAUUACUUGGAAAUCAGAUAGACCAGUAUGGGUUCCUCAGUGGCCCCUGACUAAAGAAAAGAUACAAGCAGCCCAUGACCUGGUCAAACAACAAUUAGCGGAGGGACAUAUACAACCUUCCGUAUCUCCUUACAAUACUCCCAUUUUUGUCAUUAAAAAGAAAUCUGGUAAAUGGAGAUUAUUGCAAGAUUUAAGAGCCAUUAAUAAUGAGAUGGUUAUUAUGGGACCUGCUCAAUCAGGGAUUCCCCAAUUGUCUGCUUUACCAAAAACCUGGUAUGUUUUAGCUAUAGAUAUUAAAGAUUGUUUUUUUUCAAUUCCAAUUCAUCCUGAGGAUAGUCCACAUUUUGCAUUUACUAUCCCUGCACUGAAUCAUGAAGGUCCUGAUCAGAGAUAUGAAUGGAAAGUACUCCCUCAAGGGAUGGCUAACAGCCCAACUAUGUG
This 785-nucleotide long non-coding RNA is filed under the name Marmota monax (woodchuck). The record is from RNAcentral. Lineage: Eukaryota; Metazoa; Chordata; Mammalia; Rodentia; Sciuridae.